RNAcentral lists this transfer RNA (60 nucleotides) under Brachystomella parvula. RNAcentral's name for it is "tRNA-Cys". The record is from RNAcentral. Lineage: Eukaryota; Metazoa; Arthropoda; Collembola; Poduromorpha; Brachystomellidae.
GAGAAAUUAGUUUAGGAAGAAUAGUAAGUUGCAAACUUUCAGGGAUUAAUUUAUUUCUUU